Didymosphaeria variabile is the source of this 104-nucleotide non-coding RNA. Lineage: Eukaryota; Fungi; Ascomycota; Dothideomycetes; Pleosporales; Didymosphaeriaceae. The record is from the annotation of a RefSeq genome assembly.
GGCUCAAUGGUCUAGUGGUAUGAUUGUCGCUUCGGGAUGUAACGCCUGGAUUCUACACGGAUUUGUAAUGUGACAGGCCCCGGGUUCGAAUCCCGGUUGAGCCC